This 496-nucleotide ribosomal RNA is filed under the name uncultured bacterium. RNAcentral describes it as "partial 16S ribosomal RNA". It matches the Rfam family "Bacterial small subunit ribosomal RNA", at positions 28 to 506 of the family's 1533-position model. The record is from RNAcentral.
GAUGAACGCUGGCGGCGUGCCUAAUACAUGCAAGUCGAGCGAACAGAUGAGGAGCUUGCUCCUCUGACGUUAGCGGCGGACGGGUGAGUAACACGUGGAUAACCUACCUAUAAGACUGGGAUAACUUCGGGAAACCGGAGCUAAUACCGGAUAAUAUAUUGAACCGCAUGGUUCAAUAGUGAAAGACGGUUUUGCUGUCACUUAUAGAUGGAUCCGCGCCGCAUUAGCUAGUUGGUAGGGUAACGGCUUACCAAGGCAACGAUGCGUAGCCGACCUGAGAGGGUGAUCGGCCACACUGGAACUGAGACACGGUCCAGACUCCUACGGGAGGCAGCAGUAGGGAAUCUUACGCAAUGGGCGAAAGCCUGACGGAGCAACGCCGCGUGAGUGAUGAAGGUCUUCGGAUCGUAAAACUCUGUUACUAGGGAAGAACAAAUGUGUAAGUAACUAUGCACGUCUUGACGGUACCUAAUCAGAAAGCCACGGCUAACUACGU